Molecule: long non-coding RNA, 400 nt
Filed under: Androctonus crassicauda
Lineage: Eukaryota; Metazoa; Arthropoda; Arachnida; Scorpiones; Buthidae
Source: RNAcentral
UUUUCAACCAGGGAGAUUACUAAGGUGCAAGGCCAGUUCCAACCACGGGCUGCACCCACACCCAUGGAGGGAGACCGGAUGGUGAAGGACGGCGAUGGCCGAGCCGGGUCCAUCACCCCGAAAAUUUUUCAGGAUUUACCAGAUCCGGGACACGUCGACAGCGUUUCCAACAUUUUACCAUUCCGCCACCAAAUUCAUGUGACUGGACGCUGCCUCCUCCUCAUAAACUGGAGCUGUGGGAUUCCAGAAUCGGACCCGGCAUCUAUAGAAGCAAACUACUGGUUUAUCACUUGUUCAUCCGGUUGACAGUUCUUUUCCACAACUUCCGGGAAUUUUAUAAUUAUUUAUAUUUAAUUGUUUUAUUUAAUUAAAUGUAAAUAAGUUGAAAAAUAACAUAGCG